RNAcentral lists this transfer RNA (72 nucleotides) under Candidatus Competibacteraceae bacterium. Its description in RNAcentral is "tRNA-Asp". It matches the Rfam family "tRNA". From Rfam's summary of the family: Transfer RNA (tRNA) molecules are approximately 80 nucleotides in length. Their secondary structure includes four short double-helical elements and three loops (D, anti-codon, and T loops). The record is from RNAcentral. Lineage: Bacteria; Pseudomonadati; Pseudomonadota; Gammaproteobacteria; Candidatus Competibacteraceae.
GCCCUCAAAGUGUUACGGCUAGCACGACAGAUUGUCGAUCUGUAGGCACGGGUUCAACUCCCGUUGAGGGCG